UGGGGAAUCUUGGACAAUGGGGGCAACCCUGAUCCAGCCAUGCCGCGUGAGUGAUGAAGGCCUUAGGGUCGUAAAGCUCUUUCGCCUGUGAAGAUAAUGACGGUAGCAGGUAAAGAAACCCCGGCUAACUCCGUGCCAGCAGCCGCGGUAAUACGGAGGGGGUUAGCGUUGUUCGGAAUUACUGGGCGUAAAGCGCACGUAGGCGGACCAGAAAGUUGGGGGUGAAAUCCCGGGGGCUCAACCCCGGAACUGCCUCAAAACUAUUGGUCUAGAGUUCGAGAGAGGUGAGUGGAAUUCCAAGUGUAAGAGGUGAAAUUCGUAGAUAUUUGGAGGAACACCAGUGGCGAAGGCGGCUCACUGGCUCGAUACUGACGCUGAGGUGCGAAAGUGUGGGGAGCAAAACAGGAUUAGAUCCCUGUA
This 420-nucleotide ribosomal RNA is filed under the name uncultured bacterium. RNAcentral's name for it is "bacterial SSU rRNA". It matches the Rfam family "Bacterial small subunit ribosomal RNA", at positions 355 to 790 of the family's 1533-position model. The record is from RNAcentral.